RNAcentral lists this transfer RNA (74 nucleotides) under Peltorhamphus novaezeelandiae (New Zealand sole). RNAcentral's name for it is "tRNA-Leu". It matches the Rfam family "tRNA". Rfam says of the family: Transfer RNA (tRNA) molecules are approximately 80 nucleotides in length. Lineage: Eukaryota; Metazoa; Chordata; Actinopteri; Pleuronectiformes; Rhombosoleidae. The record is from RNAcentral.
UUUAGGGUGGCAGAGCCCGGUUACUGCAAAAGAUCUAAACUCUUUCCACGAAGGUUCAAGUCCCUCUCCUAAAU